This 406-nucleotide ribosomal RNA is filed under the name uncultured bacterium. Its description in RNAcentral is "partial 16S ribosomal RNA". It matches the Rfam family "Bacterial small subunit ribosomal RNA", at positions 30 to 526 of the family's 1533-position model. The record is from RNAcentral.
AUUGAACGCUGGCGGCAGGCCUAACACAUGCAAGUCGAACGAGUGCCGGACGGGUGAGUAAUGUCUGGGAAACUUCCUGAUGGAGGGGGAUAACUACUGGAAACGGUAGCUAAUAUCGCAUACCAGCAGGUGUGCCCAGAGGGGAGAAGCUUGUUGGUGGGGUAACGGCUCACAAAGGCGACGAUCCCUAGCUGGUCUGAGAGGAUGACCAGCCACACUGGAACUGAGACACGGUCCAGACUCCUACGGGAGGCAGCAGUGGGGAAUAUUGCCCAAUGGGGGAAAGCCUGAUGCAGCCAUGCCGCGUGUAUGAAGAAGGCCUUCGGGUUGUAAAGUACUUUCAGCGGGGAGGCGUUACUCGCAGAAGAAGCACCGGCUAACUCCGUGCCAGCAGCCGCGGUAAUUC